CGCAUCUGUGCAUGCAGCAUAUCAAUAAGCGGAGGAAAAGAAACUAACAAGGAUUCCCUUAGUAACGGCGAGUGAAGCGGGAAGAGCUCAAAUUGAAAUCUUCAAGGUUUUACCUUGACGAAUUGUAGUUUAAAGAAGUGUUUUCUGUUGAAGUUUUGGUAAAAGUUCUUUGGAAUAGGACAUCAUAGAGGGUGAGAAUCCCGUAUUUGACCAUUAUUUUCAGCUGUGUGAUACACUUUCAAAGAGUCGGAUUGUUUGGGAAUGCAGUCCAAAAUGGGUGGUAAAUUUCAUCUAAAGCUAAAUAUUGGCGAGAGACCGAUAGCGAACAAGUACCGUGAGGGAAAGAUGAAAAGAACUUUGAAAAGAGAGUUAAACAGUACGUGAAGUUGUCAAAAGGGAAGCGUUUGACACCAGUGUUGUUUUCUCGAAAAUCAAUUAAAAAGAGUUAGAUUUUGUUGUGUAUUGACCUUAACAGCUUGCAUUUCAAUUUUCUUGCUUUUUUUAAUGCACUUUUCGUUUAACAAGUCAACAUCAGUUUCUUUUGUUGUAAAAAGGUCAUUGGAAGGUGGCUUUCUUUUCGGAGAAAGUGUUUAUAGCCUUUGACUCCUGCAAUCGGAGAGACUGAGGUCUGCAGCGUAGAUCCUUCGGGGUUAGAUACAUUUGUGCUAAGUUAUAGCUUUUUAUAGACAACUUGUUGACUAUGAUUAGUCUUGUAGCUUACUCGCUUAUGCUAUUUUACCUACGCUUAGGAUGUUGAUGUGAUACUGCGAGCA
RNAcentral lists this ribosomal RNA (773 nucleotides) under uncultured Neocallimastigales. RNAcentral's name for it is "partial large subunit ribosomal RNA". It matches the Rfam family "Eukaryotic large subunit ribosomal RNA", at positions 26 to 629 of the family's 3401-position model. The record is from RNAcentral. Lineage: Eukaryota; Fungi; Neocallimastigomycota; Neocallimastigomycetes; Neocallimastigales.